Platichthys flesus (European flounder) is the source of this 2120-nucleotide long non-coding RNA. RefSeq lists it as uncharacterized. The record is from RefSeq and is a predicted model, not a curated record. The transcript is spliced from 3 exons. Lineage: Eukaryota; Metazoa; Chordata; Actinopteri; Pleuronectiformes; Pleuronectidae.
GGCCGUCAGCCAUGAAGCCCGACAGCGUGGAGAGCAACCAGCCCCCGAGGAACGGCAGAGCGGACAGGAGGGCAUUCUGAGGACAGAGACACAGUUCCAGACGUUUGAUGAAUGAAGCUGGUUUUUAAGAGACCAUAAAGGUAGAACACAGAGGGCCAGCCCAGCGUUUGGCAGAUCAAGCCCGUGAGCGGCAGAGCCACAAAGGCGCCGAAGCUUGCUCCGGAUCCCGACAUGGUCAUCAGGCGGGAGCGCUCCAGUGGGGGGGCCCAGCGAGCCCACAUCGCCAUCAUGGCCGGGAACGUGACACCCUGAGGAAAAGAGUGAGACCGACUGAAUCCUCUCACCUCUCCAAAGCCCUCCAGCGCUCGCAGUGCAAACAUCCAGGUCACACCCAGCUGAGCGGCCAUGGGGGUGAGGAGGGUGAGGGCAGCCGUGCCCAGCACACCCAAACCCAGGAAGACCUUCCCCCCGUAGAGACCGGCCAGGUAACCCCCCGGGAUCUGCGUGCACAGGUAGCCGAAGAAGAAGGCCCCCAGGAGCCAGCCCUGAGUCUCUGAGUCCCAGGGAUACUGAGGGACCUGGGACAAGAGGACAGAGAGAUGUGGGUCACCUUCAUUUAUCUACAAACACUCUAUGAUACUUCACGAUGGGAGUUUUUUUUACCCCCUCUGGUUGUGGGAACGUGUCGCUGGCGUUUUCCAUCCCAGCCGGCAUCGGACACGCGUGCACGAUGGAGGUGUUCGGGGCCGGCGUGGGCUCGGUGGUGUUCACCAUCACCACCAUGGCCACACUGAGGUUGACGCGGAGGCCGUAGACCACGGAGAACCCGAAGAACAUGAGCACGGCGAGGUUGAGGCGAGCGGAGCAGCACUGAGGAGGAACUGCUGACACACAGAACAGUGAGGUCAGCAUCGAGAACAGCACAUCAGCCAUCAUGGUCAUUUUCUAUUUAUCACAUUAAUGCAGGAAUAAGCUUUGGACGGGGUUGAAACAUUUAUAAUUUUUGGAUGAUUUCAGGGAUGGAAGUGUCAUCAUAUUAUUAAGAAGCUGGAAAUCGGGACCUUUGAUGCAGGUCACAAGUCAUAUUUAUAUUUCAUUAUUUCCCUUUUCUACGGAGACACAGUUUCAAUAUCAUGUGACUUGAGUCAAACUGCCUCUUCACAAAGAUCUUAUAUAACUGACAAAGUGCUGAUGUGAGUGUGACCAUGACACAACUAAAAAGAAUCUGCUGAGGAACCAGAGACAGUUCAACAAGACGUUUGCACCAUUAGAAAAUAAUGACGGAAAUAUCCAGAUGUUGAGAGGUUUAUUUUACUGCUGAGCUUGAAUGCAUCAUCACGGCAAACUGAAUAUUUUUAGCUUUUGAUCUCAUUUGACAAAUUAAGCCAUUUUCCAACAUCACAAAGUUUCUUGCAGCCCUUUGAUCUAAAUACAACUGAAAUGACUUGGAACUGGUCCUGAGAGUCGUGUCGAGAGGAAAGUCCAAACUCCUCAUUGAAUGAAAAUGUCCUGAUAAGAGCAGAAACAAACCUGCGUCUGUCUCGAUGAGCGGCUCCACGUCCUCCACGUCCUCGCUCUCGUCCGAAGACGCUGCGUUGAUGGAGAAGCCAUUUGAUCGCGGCAUGGCUGUCGACUGGCCCAGCUAAACACUACAAUACUUGAAAAUGAUGUCAGUAAAUCAUGGCGUCCAGGAGAUCUGCUGAAGAGAUGGAGAUCAGAUGUCAGAGCAACACAGACUCACACAGACCCGGACAUAUAAACACUGCAGACACACAAACAAACAGGAUAAGAGAUAAAAACAUGGCAUAAAUGUGAGAUCACAUGAGACACACACACACACACACACACACACACACACACACUGACUUCACUUCAGAGCCUGACACUGGAAGUACACAACACACUGGGGCCGUUGUUGCCUCUGGGAACUUUUCAGGAACUAAGGAAACCGCCCGUGACACACGUCUCUGUUCUGACUCACCACUGUGGCUUUGAGGAGGUUUCUUCAGAAAGAGGAGGUCAGAAAGAAAAAACCUGAAACAAAGUCAGAGCAUCUCUGUUAGUUCAGUGACCUGCACUGACUCUGACUUGGUUUUAAAUAAAGUUUAAAUUGAAUUAUA